UCGAGGAUCUUCGGCAAUGGGCGCAAGCCUGACCGAGCGACGCCGCGUGUGCGAUUGAAGGCCUUCGGGUUGUAAAGCACUGUCGAGGGGGAGAAAAGCCCGCAAGGGCCUGAUCUAUCCCUGGAGGAAGCACGGGCUAAGUUCGUGCCAGCAGCCGCGGUAAGACGAACCGUGCGAACGUUGUUCGGAAUCACUGGGCUUAAAGGGCGCGUAGGCGGGCACUCAAGUCGGUGGUGAAAUCCUCCGGCCUAACCGGAGAAGAGCUGUCGAUACUGGGUGCCUCGAGUGGUGCAGGGGUCUGCGGAACUUCGGGUGGAGCGGUGAAAUGCGUAGAGAUCCGAAGGAACGCCGGUGGCGAAAGCGGCGGACUGGGCACCUUCUGACGCUGAGGCGCGAAAGCCAGGGGAGCAAACGG
RNAcentral lists this ribosomal RNA (415 nucleotides) under uncultured bacterium. RNAcentral's name for it is "bacterial SSU rRNA". It matches the Rfam family "Bacterial small subunit ribosomal RNA", at positions 355 to 775 of the family's 1533-position model. The record is from RNAcentral.